This 1438-nucleotide ribosomal RNA is filed under the name uncultured organism. RNAcentral describes it as "SSU rRNA". It matches the Rfam family "Bacterial small subunit ribosomal RNA". The record is from RNAcentral.
AGGAUGAACGCUAGCUACAGGCUUAACACAUGCAAGUCGAGGGGCAGCAUGGUCUUAGCUUGCUAAGGCCGAUGGCGACCGGCGCACGGGUGAGUAACACGUAUCCAACCUGCCGUCUACUCUUGGACAGCCUUCUGAAAGGAAGAUUAAUACAAGAUGGCAUCAUGAGUCCGCAUGUUCACAUGAUUAAAGGUAUUCCGGUAGACGAUGGGGAUGCGUUCCAUUAGAUAGUAGGCGGGGUAACGGCCCACCUAGUCUUCGAUGGAUAGGGGUUCUGAGAGGAAGGUCCCCCACAUUGGAACUGAGACACGGUCCAAACUCCUACGGGAGGCAGCAGUGAGGAAUAUUGGUCAAUGGGCGAGAGCCUGAACCAGCCAAGUAGCGUGAAGGAUGACUGCCCUAUGGGUUGUAAACUUCUUUUAUAAAGGAAUAAAGUCGGGUAUGCAUACCCGUUUGCAUGUACUUUAUGAAUAAGGAUCGGCUAACUCCGUGCCAGCAGCCGCGGUAAUACGGAGGAUCCGAGCGUUAUCCGGAUUUAUUGGGUUUAAAGGGAGCGUAGAUGGAUGUUUAAGUCAGUUGUGAAAGUUUGCGGCUCAACCGUAAAAUUGCAGUUGAUACUGGAUAUCUUGAGUGCAGUUGAGGCAGGCGGAAUUCGUGGUGUAGCGGUGAAAUGCUUAGAUAUCACGAAGAACUCCGAUUGCGAAGGCAGCCUGCUAAGCUGCAACUGACAUUGAGGCUCGAAAGUGUGGGUAUCAAACAGGAUUAGAUACCCUGGUAGUCCACACGGUAAACGAUGAAUACUCGCUGUUUGCGAUAUACGGCAAGCGGCCAAGCGAAAGCGUUAAGUAUUCCACCUGGGGAGUACGCCGGCAACGGUGAAACUCAAAGGAAUUGACGGGGGCCCGCACAAGCGGAGGAACAUGUGGUUUAAUUCGAUGAUACGCGAGGAACCUUACCCGGGCUUAAAUUGCAGAUGAAUUACGGUGAAAGCCGUAAGCCGCAAGGCAUCUGUGAAGGUGCUGCAUGGUUGUCGUCAGCUCGUGCCGUGAGGUGUCGGCUUAAGUGCCAUAACGAGCGCAACCCUUGUUGUCAGUUACUAACAGGUUCCGCUGAGGACUCUGACAAGACUGCCAUCGUAAGAUGUGAGGAAGGUGGGGAUGACGUCAAAUCAGCACGGCCCUUACGUCCGGGGCUACACACGUGUUACAAUGGGGGGUACAGAGGGCCGCUACCACGCGAGUGGAUGCCAAUCCCCAAAACCUCUCUCAGUUCGGACUGGAGUCUGCAACCCGACUCCACGAAGCUGGAUUCGCUAGUAAUCGCGCAUCAGCCACGGCGCGGUGAAUACGUUCCCGGGCCUUGUACACACCGCCCGUCAAGCCAUGGGAGCCGGGGGUACCUGAAGUGCGUAACCGCGAGGAGCGCCCUAGGGUAAAAC